RNAcentral lists this ribosomal RNA (1314 nucleotides) under Microhyla rubra (red narrow-mouthed frog). RNAcentral's name for it is "partial 16S ribosomal RNA". It matches the Rfam family "Bacterial large subunit ribosomal RNA", at positions 382 to 2569 of the family's 2925-position model. Lineage: Eukaryota; Metazoa; Chordata; Amphibia; Anura; Microhylidae. The record is from RNAcentral.
GCUCUAAUAUUUUUCUAAUGCAUUCCCCAAAUAACUCGCACCAAAUAAAACAUUUUACCAAUUUAGUAAAGGCGAUUAAAAAAUUCCUAGAAGCUAUAGAAACAAGUACCGCAAGGGAAAAGUGAAAUAAAAAUGAAAUACCUUAAAGCACUACACAGCAGAGAUUUAACCUCGUACCUUUUGCAUCAUGGUCUAACUAGUCCAACCAAGCAAAACGCACUUUAAGUUUGACCCCCCGAAACUAGGUGAGCUACUUAAGAACAGCCUUUAGGGCCAACCCAUCUCUGUUGCAAAAGAGUGGGAAGAUUCUUUAGUAGAGGUGACAGACCUAUCGAACCUAGAGAUAGCUGGUUAUUCAGGAAAAGGAUUUAAGUCCUACCUUAGGUUUUUUAUACCAUAAAAUAUUUAACUAACCUCAAGAGCUAUUCAGAUAAGGUACAGCCUAUCUGAAACAGGAUACAACCUCAACGAAAGCGUUAAAGCUUCACUAAUUCCACCAAAAAUCCCACAAACCAAACUAAACCGUUAAAUUCAUACUGAAUGACUUCAUAUUUCUAUGAAGAACUAUAUGUUAGAACUAGUAACAAGAAGUAGACCUUCUCCAAAAAUGUAAGCUUGAGCCAUAAUGAACCACUCACUGGCAUUUAAAGUAUAACUCUUCUAGUAGCAACUUCAACAAGAAAACCCUACCUAUUUACACGUCAACCUUACACCAGCGCAUUUCUGGAAAGAUUAAAAGAGUGGGAAGGAACUCGGCAAAUUAUUAACCCCGCCUGUUUACCAAAAACAUCGCCUCUUGACUCCCAUAAGAGGUCCAGCCUGCCCAGUGACCAAGUUAAACGGCCGCGGUACCCUAACCGUGCAAAGGUAGCGCAAUCACUUGUUCUUUAAAUGAGGACUAGUAUGAACGGCAUCACGAGGGUUACACUGUCUCCCCACUCCACUCAGUGAAACUGAUCUCCCCGUGAAGAAGCGGGGAUAAAAAUAUAAGACGAGAAGACCCCAUGGAGCUUUAAACUCAGUAUCAUCUGCUACCACAAUAGCCAAGUAACAAUGCAGCAAUGACAACUAGUUUUUGGUUGGGGUGACCGCGGAGUAAAACAAAACCUCCGCAACGAAAGGAACUAACAACCUAAUCUAAGAGUAACAGCUCUAAGAAUCAUAUAAAUUGACCUAACUGAUCCAAUUACUUGAUCAACGAACCAAGUUACCCUGGGGAUAACAGCGCAAUCCAUUUAAAGAGCUCAUAUCGACAAAUGGGUUUACGACCUCGAUGUUGGAUCAGGGUAUCCCAGUGGCGCAGCAGCUACUAAC